GACGAACGCUGGCGGCGUGCUUAACACAUGCAAGUCGAACGGAAAGGCCCUGCUUUUGUGGGGUGCUCGAGUGGCGAACGGGUGAGUAACACGUGAGUAACCUGCCCCUGACUUUGGGAUAACUUCAGGAAACUGGGGCUAAUACCGGAUAGGAGCUCCUGCUGCAUGGUGGGGGUUGGAAAGUUUCGGCGGUUGGGGAUGGACUCGCGGCUUAUCAGCUUGUUGGUGGGGUAGUGGCUUACCAAGGCUUUGACGGGUAGCCGGCCUGAGAGGGUGACCGGCCACAUUGGGACUGAGAUACGGCCCAGACUCCUACGGGAGGCAGCAGUGGGGAAUAUUGCACAAUGGGCGGAAGCCUGAUGCAGCAACGCCGCGUGCGGGAUGACGGCCUUCGGGUGGUAAACCGCUUUCGCCUGUGACGAAGCGUGAGUGACGGUAAUGGGUAAAGAAGCACCGGCUAACUACGU
RNAcentral lists this ribosomal RNA (467 nucleotides) under uncultured bacterium. Its description in RNAcentral is "partial 16S ribosomal RNA". It matches the Rfam family "Bacterial small subunit ribosomal RNA", at positions 28 to 506 of the family's 1533-position model. The record is from RNAcentral.